AUUGAACGCUGGCGGCAGGCCUAACACAUGCAAGUCGAGCGGAUGAAGGGAGCUUGCUCCUGGAUUCAGCGGCGGACGGGUGAGUAAUGCCUAGGAAUCUGCCUGGUAGUGGGGGAUAACGUCCGGAAACGGGCGCUAAUACCGCAUACGUCCUGAGGGAGAAAGUGGGGGAUCUUCGGACCUCACGCUAUCAGAUGAGCCUAGGUCGGAUUAGCUAGUUGGUGGGGUAAAGGCCUACCAAGGCGACGAUCCGUAACUGGUCUGAGAGGAUGAUCAGUCACCCUGGAACUGAGCCACGGUCCAGACUCCUCCGGGAGGCAGCAGUGGGGAAUAUUGGACAAUGGGCGAAAGCCUGCUCCAGCCCUGCCGCGUGUGUGAAGAAGGUCUUCGGAUUGUAAAGCACUUUAAGUUGGGAGGAAGGGCAGUAAGUUAAUACCUUGCUGUUUUGACGUUACCAACAGAAUAAGCACCGGCUAACUUCGUG
Molecule: ribosomal RNA, 484 nt
Filed under: uncultured bacterium
Lineage: Bacteria
Description: partial 16S ribosomal RNA
Rfam family: Bacterial small subunit ribosomal RNA
Source: RNAcentral